RNAcentral lists this ribosomal RNA (1245 nucleotides) under Acinetobacter sp. UNC436CL71CviS28. Its description in RNAcentral is "bacterial LSU rRNA". It matches the Rfam family "Bacterial large subunit ribosomal RNA", at positions 1588 to 2816 of the family's 2925-position model. The record is from RNAcentral. Lineage: Bacteria; Pseudomonadati; Pseudomonadota; Gammaproteobacteria; Moraxellales; Moraxellaceae.
AAGUGGCCGAUACCAUACUUCCAAGAAAAGUCUCUAAGCUUCAGUUACACAGGAAUCGUACCCGAAACCGACACAGGUGGUCAGGUCGAGUAGACCAAGGCGCUUGAGAGAACUCUGCUGAAGGAACUAGGCAAAAUGGUACCGUAACUUCGGGAGAAGGUACGCUGCUGAUGGUGAUAGGACUUGCUCCUUGAGCUGUCGGCAGCCGCAGAAACCAGGCCGCUGCAACUGUUUAUUAAAAACAUAGCACUCUGCAAACACGAAAGUGGACGUAUAGGGUGUGAUGCCUGCCCGGUGCUGGAAGGUUAAUUGAUGGGGUUAGCGUAAGCGAAGCUCUUGAUCGAAGCCCCAGUAAACGGCGGCCGUAACUAUAACGGUCCUAAGGUAGCGAAAUUCCUUGUCGGGUAAGUUCCGACCUGCACGAAUGGCAUAAUGAUGGCGGCGCUGUCUCCAGCAGAGGCUCAGUGAAAUCGAAAUCGCUGUGAAGAUGCAGUGUACCCGCGGCUAGACGGAAAGACCCCGUGAACCUUUACUGCAGCUUGACACUGAACUUUGACCUUACUUGUGUAGGAUAGGUGGGAGGCUUUGAAGUAGGGACGCCAGUUCCUAUGGAGCCAUCCUUGAAAUACCACCCUGGUAAUGUUGAGGUUCUAACUCUGACCCAUAAUCUGGGUCGAGGACCGUGUCUGGUGGGUAGUUUGACUGGGGCGGUCUCCUCCUAAAGAGUAACGGAGGAGUACGAAGGUGCGCUCAGCGUGGUCGGAAAUCACGCGUAGAGUAUAAAGGCAAAAGCGCGCUUAACUGCGAGACCCACAAGUCGAGCAGGUACGAAAGUAGGUCUUAGUGAUCCGGUGGUUCUGUAUGGAAGGGCCAUCGCUCAACGGAUAAAAGGUACUCUGGGGAUAACAGGCUGAUACCGCCCAAGAGUUCAUAUCGACGGCGGUGUUUGGCACCUCGAUGUCGGCUCAUCUCAUCCUGGGGCUGAAGCAGGUCCCAAGGGUAUGGCUGUUCGCCAUUUAAAGAGGUACGCGAGCUGGGUUUAGAACGUCGUGAGACAGUUCGGUCCCUAUCUACCGUGGGCGCUGGAAAUUUGAGAGGAUCUGCUCCUAGUACGAGAGGACCAGAGUGGACGAACCUCUGGUGUACCGGUUGUGACGCCAGUCGCAUCGCCGGGUAGCUAUGUUCGGAAGGGAUAACCGCUGAAAGCAUCUAAGCGGGAAGCCUACCUCAAGAUAAGAUUUCCCC